This 1787-nucleotide long non-coding RNA is filed under the name Elaeis guineensis (African oil palm). RNAcentral's name for it is "long non-coding RNA (EGUI_LNC080924)". Lineage: Eukaryota; Viridiplantae; Streptophyta; Magnoliopsida; Arecales; Arecaceae. The record is from RNAcentral.
AUUUUAUAUGUUGUUAAUCCAAAACAAGUAUGUUGACUUCCCUUGAUUAUUUUGUUAAAAAAAAGCAAUUAAUCGGACAAACAUUUAUUCUUUUUAGUGGACCCACUUAAUUAUUUUACACUAAUAUUAGAUGUAAUAAUCUUUUUGAGCUACAAAAUUUAGGUCAAGAGUUGGUUGACUAGUUCAAGAAUGCAACCUAGUAAUAAGAGAUAUUAUAAAUAAAGUUAAAUCUUGUGAAUAUGAUCACUUAUUGCCUACGUGAGUUUAUAAGAAUUAUAUUUGACUAGAUAGGGCUAAAAAUCGAUUUGGAUACUGUCAUGAUAGUUAAUAUUUGAAUCCGCCUUUUCGUUGAUGGAUAUAGACAUUAGUCAAAUGCUAAAAAAUUAUAUCCAUGUAUGUUGAUGUAGAAAUGGAUCGGAUCGGAUAUUGUUGUAUCCAUUUUCAAACCCCAUGGAUCAAGGUGAUGAAGGGAUGGUAGGUGAGCAAGAUUGUAGAAAGAUAAAUAUGGAAAAAGGGAGAGAUGUGCGCUCCAGUCUCUGAUAUGUGUUUUGUGUCAGAGAGAGCUUUUAGAUGGGAAUUUAUGUUUAAGAGAGAAGGUCUGAGAUUAUUGGUAGGUAGGAUGGGACAUGGUUUGAUUAGGUAUGAAUCAGGAACAAACCCAAAAAUAAACCUUCAUUACUGCGCAAGAGAUCUGCAAGAAUAUCCAAACUCCAAGGCUGGAUGGGGAUAUCAUGGAUAUGGCAUCUUAAGGCUCAUUGGUGUUCUAUUUGCUUACUUUGGAAAUUAGCAUGGGAAUGGCUACCUACCUUUGAGCUUUUGCACCAUUGUAGCCUCACUUCUCCCAUAUGCCAACAUUGCCAUGACAGAACUAAGACAUCGAUCCUUUGUUCUUCCAUCAUCCCAAGGUUCAUCAUCUACGGGAACAUGCCCAACCCCCCCACCCCAGCCUCGAUUGGAUUGUAUCAAACUUAAAUAAAUUGGUCCACCCCUUAUCUUCUAGUGCAGGACAUAUUUUGACAUCAUUGUAGGCUGCCUAUACUAGCAAGUGCUAUUCCUCUAUGUACCUCCUCUGUACACAUAGUGGAGUUGACAACUGCAUGGAGGGGGAUAUCUAUUGCAAUUUCAUCACUUGGUGAUACAUAAAUUUGGUUGGACAUGGAGUCAACAACAAUUCAUAGUUUGGAUUUAGGGAACAUCAUUGCUUAAGCAUCCCUACUUGAUAGACCUCUGGAACAUUGCUUACUCCCUCUAGGACUUUCAUUCUUCACAUAUCUUUCUAAAGGGCUAGCUAGCUAGCUUCAGAUCUCCAUGGACCUUAUGUAUUUGAUUACUGUUAAUUCCAUGGACCUUUGUAUUAUAGGCUGUAAUGAGGCUUACCAACUCUAGAAAAUGAAAAUACCCACAAAUAAUCUAUUCGAUGACAUCACAUAUCAACAAAAUCCAAAGAAAUAAACUAUAAUUUCUUAGAUGUAACAUUUUACAGGAACAAAUGUAAUAUUCUAUUCAACGGAGUAAAAAAUUAACACCAACUAUAAGCAAGGUUUAUUGUGCUAGUACCGGAACUCAUAUUAGUUGCCUGGCGGUAUGGUAUGGAACCGUGCUGUUCCAUUCUAGGCCCAUGCCGACACAACUAAGCUGGCAAGGGAGGGGGGAGAGGGAGAAGGAAAGGGAGAAAAAAGAGAGAGGGAGGUAGGGAGAGGGAGAGGAAGGGACGAAGGGAGGGAGAGGGAGAGUGAGAUAGGCCAAGAGGGGGGGGCUUUCGAGCCUACAUCUUCUUCGGUGCAUGA